Molecule: ribosomal RNA, 441 nt
Filed under: uncultured bacterium
Lineage: Bacteria
Description: partial 16S ribosomal RNA
Rfam family: Bacterial small subunit ribosomal RNA
Source: RNAcentral
CCUACGGGAGGCAGCAGUGGGGGAUAUUGCACAAUGGGGGAAACCCUGAUGCAGCGACGCCGCGUGCGUGAAGAAGUAUUUCGGUAUGUAAAGCUCUAUCAGCAGGGAAGAAAAAAGACGGUACCUGACUAAGACGCCCCGGCUAACUACGUGCCAGCAGCCGCGGUAAUACGUAGGGGGCAAGCGUUAUCCGGAUUUACUGGGUGUAAAGGGAGCGUAGACUGGAAUCCAAGUCGGAAGUGAAAUACCCGGGCUCAACCUGGGAACCGCUUUGGAAACUGUAAGUCUGGAGUGCGAGAGAGGUAAGCGGAAUUCCUAGUGAAGCGGUGAAAUGCGUAGAUAUUAGGAGGAACACCAGUGGCGAAGGCAGCUUACUGGACAUUAACUGACGUUGAGGCUCGAAAGCGUGGGGAGCAAACAGGAUUAGAUACCCGAGUAGUC